Molecule: unclassified non-coding RNA, 378 nt
Filed under: plant metagenome
Description: partial contains 5.8S ribosomal RNA, internal transcribed spacer 2, and large subunit ribosomal RNA
Rfam family: 5.8S ribosomal RNA (bases 1-105)
Source: RNAcentral
GAAAUGCGAUAAGUAAUGUGAAUUGCAGAAUUCAGUGAAUCAUCGAAUCUUUGAACGCACCUUGCGCUCCUUGGUAUUCCUUGGAGCAUGCCUGUUUGAGUAUCAUGAAAUCUUCAAAGUAAAUCUUUUGUUAACUCAAUUGGUUUCUACUUUGGUAUUGGAGGUCUUUGCAGCUUCACACCUGCUCCUCUUUGUUCAUUAGCUGGAUCUCAGUGUUAUGCUUGGUUCCACUCGGCGUGAUAAGUUAUCUAUCGCUGAGGACACUGUAAAAGGUGGCCAAGGUAAAUGCAGAUGAACCGCUUCUAAUAGUCCAUUGCCUUGGACAAUACUUUUAUGAUCUGAUCUCAAAUCAGGUAAGACUACCCGCUGAACUUAAGC